GUCCUUUUGAGAAAGAAUUUAAGGUCUAGCCUGCCCACUGAAGUAUUAAAUGGCCGCAGUAAUUUGACUGUGCAAAGGUAGCAUAAUCAUUAGUUUUUUAAUUAAAAGCUAGAAUGAAUGGUUGGACGAGAUAAAACCUGUCUCUUGUUAAAAAUUAGAAUUUAAUAUUUAAGUUAAAAAGCUUAAAUUUUUAUAAAAGACGAGAAGACCCUAUAGAUCUUUAUAAUACAGACUAUGUAUUUAAUUAGGAAUAUUUAAUUAUUUAUAGUUUUUAUUAUUUUAUUGGGGUAAUAAAAGGAUUAAAAUAAUUCCUUUUUAAUUUUUUUCAAUGAUAUUUGAUUUUUUGAUCCUUUAUUAGAGAUUGUAAGAUUAAGUUACCUUAGGGAUAACAGCGUAAUUUUUUUAAAGAGUUCUUAUCGAUAAAAAAGUUUGCGACCUCGAUGUUGGAUUAAAAAUUAUCCUGGGUGCAGAAGUUUGGGAUUUUGGUCUGUUCGACCAUUAAAUUUUUACA
Molecule: ribosomal RNA, 511 nt
Filed under: Chostonectes gigas
Lineage: Eukaryota; Metazoa; Arthropoda; Insecta; Coleoptera; Dytiscidae
Description: partial 16S ribosomal RNA
Rfam family: Bacterial large subunit ribosomal RNA
Source: RNAcentral